RNAcentral lists this ribosomal RNA (253 nucleotides) under uncultured bacterium. Its description in RNAcentral is "partial 16S ribosomal RNA". It matches the Rfam family "Bacterial small subunit ribosomal RNA", at positions 524 to 776 of the family's 1533-position model. The record is from RNAcentral.
UGCGGAGGAUCCGAGCGUUAUCCGGAUUUAUUGGGUUUAGAGGGAGCGUAGGCGGGUUGUUAAGUCAGUUGUGAAAGUUUGCGGCUCAACCGUAAAAUUGCAGUUGAUACUGGCAUCCUUGAGUACAGUAGAGGUAGGCGGAAUUCGUGGUGUAGCGGUGAAAUGCUUAGAUAUCACGAAGAACUCCGAUUGCGAAGGCAGCCUGCUGGACUGUAACUGACGCUGAUGCUCGAAAGUGUGGGUAUCAAACAGG